RNAcentral lists this ribosomal RNA (497 nucleotides) under uncultured bacterium. Its description in RNAcentral is "partial 16S ribosomal RNA". It matches the Rfam family "Bacterial small subunit ribosomal RNA", at positions 28 to 507 of the family's 1533-position model. The record is from RNAcentral.
GAUGAACGCUGGCGGCGUGCCUAAUACAUGCAAGUCGAGCGAACAGACGAGGAGCUUGCUCCUCUGACGUUAGCGGCGGACGGGUGAGUAACACGUGGAUAACCUACCUAUAAGACUGGGAUAACUUCGGGAAACCGGAGCUAAUCCCGGAUAAUAUAUUGAACCGCAUGGUUCAUUAGUGAAAGACGGUUUUGCUGUCACUUAUGAAUGGUUCCGCGCCGCAUUAGCUAGUUGGUAAGGUAACGGCUUACCAAGGCAACGAUGCGUAGCCGACCUGAGAGGGUGAUCGGCCACACUGGAACUGAGACACGGUCCAGACUCCUACGGGAGGCAGCAGUAGGGAAUCUUCCGCAAUGGGCGAAAGCCUGACGGAGCAACGCCGCGUGAGUGAUGAAGGUCUUCGGAUCGUAAAACUCUGUUAUUAGGGAAGAACAAAUGUGUAAGUAACUAUGCACGUCUUGACGGUACCUAAUCAGAAAGCCACGGCUAACUACGUG